AUCUUUCUAGUACAAAGUAAGUAUUUGUGACUUCCAAUCACCAGAUCUUGGUUAAAAUCCAAGGAAAGAUA
This 71-nucleotide transfer RNA is filed under the name Macropodus erythropterus. RNAcentral describes it as "tRNA-Gly". It matches the Rfam family "tRNA". From Rfam's summary of the family: Transfer RNA (tRNA) molecules are approximately 80 nucleotides in length. Their secondary structure includes four short double-helical elements and three loops (D, anti-codon, and T loops). Further hydrogen bonds mediate the characteristic L-shaped molecular structure. tRNAs have two regions of fundamental functional importance: the anti-codon, which is responsible for specific mRNA codon recognition, and the 3' end, to which the tRNAs corresponding amino acid is attached (by aminoacyl-tRNA synthetases). tRNAs cope with the degeneracy of the genetic code in two manners: having more than one tRNA (with a specific anti-codon) for a particular amino acid; and 'wobble' base-pairing, i.e. permitting non-standard base-pairing at the 3rd anti-codon position. The record is from RNAcentral. Lineage: Eukaryota; Metazoa; Chordata; Actinopteri; Anabantiformes; Osphronemidae.